GUUUCAGGACAUCCCCACCCUGGGCCGUGCCCUUCCUCUCGGGUUUGGUUUUAGACGGCGGGUGAGUGUGGAAAUCAAAGCAUCCAGCCGUUCUGCGGGCGGGGCACGCCGGCCCAGAACCAGAGGUACUUACUGAAUGCCAGCUAUAUGGCUGGCACUAUCUAAACACUGUGGAUACAGAAAUAAAGACACAGUUCCUGCCUUCAAGGAACCCCAGUCUAGCAGGGUGGACGGACAAGUAAAGCAAAUGUGUAAGGUGAAAAGUAUCACAGCCAUGAAGUUAAUCUCUUUGUGGACUGGACUUGCAGCGUUCCUGAGUUGUUGGCUUUGUUGCAGUGUUCCUGAGUUGUCGGCUUUGUCUUGUAUACCUAUCAGAAGCCCUGGUGACUCUGCAGAGCACAUUUAAUGCAUCUUCUCAGCUUGCACGCUUUAAUGAAGCAAGCCUGGAGAGGCUGGCAUGGCAAGGAACUGAGGGUGGCCUCUGACCAACAGCCAGCUAGAAGCUGAAGUCCAGUCUCACAGCCAUGCCGAUAACCAUGUGAUCUUGGGAGCAGUUCUUCCCAGUUGAGCCUCAGAUGAGAUCCCAGCCCUGGAUGACGCCUUGACUGCAACCUUAUAAGAGACCCUGAAGCAGGGGACCCAGCUAAGCCAUGCCCAGAUUCUUGACCUACAGGAACUGUGAGACACUAAAAUUGUGUUGUUUGAAGUCA
Long non-coding RNA from Galeopterus variegatus (Sunda flying lemur), 710 nucleotides. RefSeq lists it as uncharacterized. The transcript is spliced from 4 exons. NCBI's taxonomy places the organism in Eukaryota, Metazoa, Chordata, Mammalia, Dermoptera, Cynocephalidae. The record is from RefSeq and is a predicted model, not a curated record.